RNAcentral lists this ribosomal RNA (682 nucleotides) under uncultured bacterium. RNAcentral's name for it is "bacterial SSU rRNA". It matches the Rfam family "Bacterial small subunit ribosomal RNA", at positions 29 to 694 of the family's 1533-position model. The record is from RNAcentral.
ACGUACGCUGGCGGCGUGCCUAAUACAUGCAAGUAGAACGCUGAAGACUUUAGCUUGCUAAAGUUGGAAGAGUUGCGAACGGGUGAGUAACGCGUAGGUAACCUGCCUACUAGCGGGGGAUAACUAUUGGAAACGAUAGCUAAUACCGCAUAACAGCAUUUAACCCAUGUUAGAUGCUUGAAAGGAGCAAUUGCUUCACUAGUAGAUGGACCUGCGUUGUAUUAGCUAGUUGGUGAGGUAACGGCUCACCAAGGCGACGAUACAUAGCCGACCUGAGAGGGUGAUCGGCCACACUGGGACUGAGACACGGCCCAGACUCCUACGGGAGGCAGCAGUAGGGAAUCUUCGGCAAUGGGGGCAACCCUGACCGAGCAACGCCGCGUGAGUGAAGAAGGUUUUCGGAUCGUAAAGCUCUGUUGUAAGAGAAGAACGUGUGUGAGAGUGGAAAGUUCACACAGUGACGGUAACUUACCAGAAAGGGACGGCUAACUACGUGCCAGCAGCCGCGGUAAUACGUAGGUCCCGAGCGUUGUCCGGAUUUAUUGGGCGUAAAGCGAGCGCAGGCGGUUUAAUAAGUCUGAAGUUAAAGGCAGUGGCUUAACCAUUGUUCGCUUUGGAAACUGUUAGACUUGAGUGCAGAAGGGGAGAGUGGAAUUCCAUGUGUAGCGGUGAAAUGCGUAGA